UACGUAGGGUGCAAGCGUUGUCCGGAAUUAUUGGGCGUAAAGAGCUCGUAGGCGGUUUGUCGCGUCGAGUGUGAAGAUCCGAGGCUUAACCUCGGACCUGCAGUCGAUACGGGCAGACUAGAGUUCGGUAGGGGAGACUGGAAUUCCUGGUGUAGCGGUGAAAUGCGCAGAUAUCAGGAGGAACACCGGUGGCGAAGGCGGGUCUCUGGGCCGAUACUGACGCUGAGGAGCGAAAGCGUGGGGAGCAAACAGG
Molecule: ribosomal RNA, 253 nt
Filed under: uncultured bacterium
Lineage: Bacteria
Description: partial 16S ribosomal RNA
Rfam family: Bacterial small subunit ribosomal RNA
Source: RNAcentral